Molecule: non-coding RNA, 412 nt
Organism: Lepisosteus oculatus (spotted gar)
Lineage: Eukaryota; Metazoa; Chordata; Actinopteri; Semionotiformes; Lepisosteidae
Source: RefSeq, a predicted model, not a curated record
GGGAUAGGCCCUGUUACCCUGUGUAUUGGAUAAAGAGACCCUAUCAGCUGCCUUUUCUUUGAGUUAUGCCAUCACUGCCCAACGCCCACUGCUGGAAUUUCAGACACAACAGUCAGCUUGGUGUCCCCAGCCCACUUCCUGAGGAAUUUGGGGAGAGUGAAAAUAAAACAGGCCAGUGGAUGAUAACUUUCAAAAGGAGCAUCUUCUGAAAAACAACCACAAGAAAUAUACCCCCAAAAUAUCACAAGAUCACAAGAUAACAAAAGGUUCUCUUUCUAUAAAGCCUAAAUGACUAUUACAUUGCAGCUGUUGAUGCUGAGUAAUAAUAAAAAACUUCCAGUUUCCGAUGAGAGCAAAGAUUCAUAUCUGUCAUGUUUUCAAAUAACUGUUGUCCUCCCUUUCCUUUUAAUAA